CUGGCUCAGAUUGAACGCUGGCGGCAGGCCUAACACAUGCAAGUCGAGCGGUAGAGAGAAGCUUGCUUCUCUUGAGAGCGGCGGACGGGUGAGUAAUGCCUAGGAAUCUGCCUGGUAGUGGGGGAUAACGUUCGGAAACGGACGCUAAUACCGCAUACGUCCUACGGGAGAAAGCAGGGGACCUUCGGGCCUUGCGCUAUCAGAUGAGCCUAGGUCGGAUUAGCUAGUUGGUGAGGUAAUGGCUCACCAAGGCGACGAUCCGUAACUGGUCUGAGAGGAUGAUCAGUCACACUGGAACUGAGACACGGUCCAGACUCCUACGGGAGGCAGCAGUGGGGAAUAUUGGACAAUGGGCGAAAGCCUGAUCCAGCCAUGCCGCGUGUGUGAAGAAGGUCUUCGGAUUGUAAAGCACUUUAAGUUGGGAGGAAGGGCAGUAAAUUAAUACUUUGCUGUUUUGACGUUACCGACAGAAUAAGCACCGGCUAACUCUGUGCCAGCAGCCGCGGUAAUACAGAGGGUGCAAGCGUUAAUCGGAAUUACUGGGCGUAAAGCGCGCGUAGGUGGUUUGUUAAGUUGGAUGUGAAAUCCCCGGGCUCAACCUGGGAACUGCAUUCAAAACUGACUGACUAGAGUAUGGUAGAGGGUGGUGGAAUUUCCUGUGUAGCGGUGAAAUGCGUAGAUAUAGGAAGGAACACCAGUGGCGAAGGCGACCACCUGGACUAAUACUGACACUGAGGUGCGAAAGCGUGGGGAGCAGACAGGAUUAGAUACCCUGGUAGUCCACGCCGUAAACGAUGUCAACUAGCCGUUGGAAGCCUUGAGCUUUUAGUGGCGCAGCUAACGCAUUAAGUUGACCGCCUGGGGAGUACGGCCGCAAGGUUAAAACUCAAAUGAAUUGACGGGGACCCGCACAAGCGGUGGAGCAUGUGGUUUAAUUCGAAGCAACGCGAAGAACCUUACCAGGCCUUGACAUCCAAUGAACUUUCUAGAGAUAGAUUGGUGCCUUCGGGAACAUUGAGACAGGUGCUGCAUGGCUGUCGUCAGCUCGUGUCGUGAGAUGUUGGGUUAAGUCCCGUAACGAGCGCAACCCUUGUCCUUAGUUACCAGCACGUAAUGGUGGGCACUCUAAGGAGACUGCCGGUGACAAACCGGAGGAAGGUGGGGAUGACGUCAAGUCAUCAUGGCCCUUACGGCCUGGGCUACACACGUGCUACAAUGGUCGGUACAGAGGGUUGCCAAGCCGCGAGGUGGAGCUAAUCCCACAAAACCGAUCGUAGUCCGGAUCGCAGUCUGCAACUCGACUGCGUGAAGUCGGAAUCGCUAGUAAUCGCGAAUCAGAAUGUCGCGGUGAAUACGUUCCCGGGCCUUGCACUCACCGCCCGUCA
This 1385-nucleotide ribosomal RNA is filed under the name uncultured bacterium. RNAcentral describes it as "16S ribosomal RNA". It matches the Rfam family "Bacterial small subunit ribosomal RNA". The record is from RNAcentral.